RNAcentral lists this ribosomal RNA (446 nucleotides) under uncultured bacterium. Its description in RNAcentral is "partial 16S ribosomal RNA". It matches the Rfam family "Bacterial small subunit ribosomal RNA", at positions 338 to 795 of the family's 1533-position model. The record is from RNAcentral.
CCUAACGGGCGGCUGCAGUCGAGAAUCAUUCACAAUGGGGGAAACCCUGAUGGUGCGACGCCGCGUGGGGGAAUGAAGGUCUUCGGAUUGUAAACCCCUGUCAUGUGGGAGCAAAUUAAAAAGAUGGUACCACAAGAGGAAGAGACGGCUACCCUGUUCCAGCAGCCGCGGUAAUACAGAGGUCUCAAGCGUUGUUCGGAAGCACUGGGCGUAAAGCGGUCGGAGGCUGUUUCGUAAGGCGGGUGUGAAAGGCGCGGGCUCAACCCGCGGACGGCACAUGAUAAGGCGAGACUAGAGUAAUGGAGGGGGAACCGGAAUUCUCGGUGUAGCAGUGAAAUGCGUAGAUAUCGAGAGGAACACUCGUGGCGAAGGCGGGUUCCUGGACAUUAACUGACGCUGAGGCACGAAGGCCAGGGGAGCGAAAGGGAUUAGAUACCCGAGUAGUC